Molecule: ribosomal RNA, 274 nt
Filed under: uncultured bacterium
Lineage: Bacteria
Description: partial 16S ribosomal RNA
Rfam family: Bacterial small subunit ribosomal RNA
Source: RNAcentral
AUACGGAGGGUGCGAGCGUUAAUCGGAAUUACUGGGCGUAAAGCGUGCGUAGGCGGAUUAUUAAGCAAGAUGUGAAAGCCCAGGGCUCAACCUUGGAACUGCAUUUUGAACUGGUAGUCUAGAGUACUGUAGAGGGUGGUGGAAUUUCCAGUGUAGCGGUGAAAUGCGUAGAGAUUGGAAGGAACAUCAGUGGCGAAGGCGGCCACCUGGACAGAUACUGACGCUGAGGCACGAAAGCGUGGGGAGCGAACAGGAUUAGAUACCCUAGUAGUCC